ACUGUUCCCCUUGCAAUCAUCUCACUAUUCUGCUCUAGUACCGUACUUGCUUCUUUUGGACUCUUCUGGUGACUCGCGAGUGCUGAAUAUUAGUGGAUGAGCUAAACCGAAGAUUUUGAGGGUUUGAAUAGAAAAUCUAGAGACGACGAAGAAGAACAAGAGAAAAUGCCGUGCUUAAACCUCUUCACGAAUGUUAGUCUCGAUGAAAUCGACAUCUCUUCAAUCCUCUCCGACGCUUCCAAAUCCGUUGCUAACAUCAUUGGCAAACCAGAAUCCUAUGUGAUGAUUGUGGUUAAAGGGUCAAUUCCGAUGUUAUUUGGCGGUACUGAUGAACCCACAGCUUACGGUGAGCUAGUAUCAAUUGGGGGUUUGAACUCUGAUACGAACAAGAAAUUGAGUGCUGCAAUUGCUACAAUUCUUGAAACAAAAUUGUCCGUUCCAAAAUCGAGAUUCUAUCUCAAAUUCCAUGACACUAAGGCACAUCAAAGUCAAGAAUUUGCACAGUGUUUACAUGCUUUACACCAGCACUAGAUACAUCGUUCUGACUUUGGAUGGAAUGGAACCACAUUCUGAAUAUCACUUCUGGAGAACGUGGAAUUAGCUGGAACAAACAGUGGAAACCCUGCUUUCAAUCAUUUUGAUGGAGUAAUACAUUAAGUUUUAGGAUGGACCAUAAAUGUUAUACAGUGAUCUACAUUACUCGAUAAAAAGUUGUGCAGUAAUUGUCAGGUUUAUAGUUCAGUUAAAGGGCAAUGUUCAUUCUCAAGGAGUCUGGUGUUUACCCAUUCAGGGGUGACGUAAAAUGUUCAC
Papaver somniferum (opium poppy) is the source of this 810-nucleotide RNA transcript. It is a transcript of the gene named macrophage migration inhibitory factor homolog, with no coding region annotated. Lineage: Eukaryota; Viridiplantae; Streptophyta; Magnoliopsida; Ranunculales; Papaveraceae. The record is from RefSeq and is a predicted model, not a curated record. The transcript is spliced from 5 exons.